Long non-coding RNA from Raphanus sativus (radish), 1866 nucleotides. RefSeq lists it as uncharacterized. The record is from RefSeq and is a predicted model, not a curated record. The transcript has 5 exons. Lineage: Eukaryota; Viridiplantae; Streptophyta; Magnoliopsida; Brassicales; Brassicaceae.
UAUUCCAGUACUGUAUCUGGGGCCAGCACAUGCUGCGGGGUAAACAUCGUUGCUAUCAAGGGAUGGAUGAGAUGAAAGGGAGAAACGGCUGUUACCUGUGAAGAAAGAAAUGUUUUGUUUAGAAAAGCAGGUGGAGGCAUGACAUUAACAUACUCGCUAUCGACAGCCAAGACAAAGAAAAGAAGCAUAUUGAGUAAGAGAAGUUACCCGUUGUAGCAUCUUUCAAUAGCUCUUUGCUAUUCUCCGGGAACUUAUGAUGAUGAAUCCAGCCCCAAAACUGCCAGAAAAAUAAGCAUUGGUUGAUGACAGUGGAGACCAACACCAAGAAAGCUACAAAACUUUGGUUGGCCAUUCUCUUUCAAGUUCACAUCAAGAACAAGUUGGAGGGCCAUUACAGUCAUAAGCCUACUGUUGUGGUUACAUGACACGCACAUUUAUUGGAGUAGCUAUCCGUAAUUAAAAUCACCAGUCACCUCGGAAAAGGCAGAUAGAUGAUGACCAGAAAAGUAAAGAAAGAGUGCUUUCUCCAGGAAGCAUAUGGAAAGCUCCGUGACAAAACAACAACGAAUGCUUUCGUACAAGUUGAUUCAGACAAGUGAAGCUGUCAGCGACAUCAGGUACUGUAGUUUUGCUUUAAUGUCUUGUUGCAUUAUAAUAUCACAAUUCGUAGUUUAAUGGGUUUAUUCUCCUCAAUUAAAUUAUCAUAAGUUGUUGCGGUAGAUCAAGUAAGAACUUGCUAGAAACUAGACUGUGAACCUAGGCGCAUGUGUGAAACACCGUAGACAAGACAAUGCAGAUUAGGUUAGAUUAGAUCAUAAUUGAUUUGAUUAGAUUAGCGUGAACGAAGACAAAUAGACAAUGAUGAGGAAAAUUAUAAAUGGGAAAGCAAAGGUGGUUAAUUAGGAUGAAAAUGAGAAAGGAAGAAUCUGGGGGUGAAACAAAGGAACAAGGGACAAAGGAACAAACAGAAGUAGUUAGUAUUGAGUAUGGGACCAAGAGAGAAGCGGUGCACUUUUGUUCCAGAUUAAAGCAAACAUACAAAUGCUAAAUUUUGCAAUUUAGAGUCACUUCCAUUGCUCCCACACGCAUUAUCUUAUGUUAUAUAUCUUAGAAUUUGAUCUACUUGUGUCAAAUUCACGUGGACAUUCUUCUUUGUCAAUGUCCUUUUCAUGUUCCUCAAUCACAUCUUCUUCUUAUGGUAUUUAUCCAACGUUUUCACUUUUCUUAUUAUAUCACAUGGUAUUAUUCCUAGGUAGAUAUCAUUUAGAAAUUAAAGGGACUUAAUGUGAAGCAACUACAGAUGUUUUAACCUGUUAUUGGGCCAGAUGAUGAAGAUCAAGAUGGGAUGGGCUAGAGUGAGUUUGACUGUUAACUAAUGGACUAGCUUAUUCAAAAUGGCGAGUGAACAAUUAAGUCUUCUAGUGCGUUUAUUAUUAUCUUAAGUCAAGUUUCUGGCCGAUUCUUUUGGUGUGUGUGUGUGUGGGUAGGCCAUUUUGGUGAGGCGUCGCAACUGGUGUGUAAGCGAGAACAUUUAGAACACAUACGUGGACAUGUAGCGUUACUAGAAUGCGUGGCUGAUCCAAAAGAGGUUGGAAUGGAUCAAGGAGAUAUCGCCAUCUCUUGUUUAUGCCAUUUCUUCUAACAUGUUCGGAGUCUUUCUGUUCAUCAUCUGAUCCUGAUUCCAUGUUCUUGAGCACACAUAAUUAGAUUCCCCAAGAUUGUGUUUCCCUUUAUUCUUUUUAGAUACUAUACCUCUAUGAUGUAACCGAGUUCUAUGGGUGAAUCAGUGUAUAAGUUACAGCUACUUACAAGUCGUUUAUUGUCUACGUAAGGAUUAUACAAUGAAUAUAAUGUUUUUCUUAGCUA